Molecule: non-coding RNA, 959 nt
Organism: Malus domestica (apple)
Lineage: Eukaryota; Viridiplantae; Streptophyta; Magnoliopsida; Rosales; Rosaceae
Source: RefSeq, a predicted model, not a curated record
UAUCCACAUUUUGGUUAUUUUUCUAAAUUUCCCCUACUUGCUUUCUUUUCUUUCGGGUUUUCCAUUCAGUCUCACUGCCAUAAAAAACCCUCGCUGCCCUGAAAACUCUGCGCUUCAUCUUUUCUCUCGCUCUCAGCACCCGCAAAACCCCUCAAACCAACAAAUUCAAUUCUACAAUCUCUCACACGUAAUCUAAACCCUCAAUCCAAAAACUCGAUUUCCAAUACCAAGCGGCUAGGAUUUUUGGUAUUGGAAUUCCGGCGAACUGUUUCCGGCCGGACGCAAGCGAAAUGGACCACGCCGUUAUUACCAAUCUUCUUGAUUUUGUCCAUUAGGGUUGAAGCUCAAAUUUAAGGUUUGAAGUGGACUCCAAGGUUUCAAAAUUAGGGAGGGUUUUUGUGUAAUUUCAAUAUCAGUGACGCUUUUUUUUUUUAACAAGGCUUCAAUUCGAUCAGGGUUUCAUUCAUUUUCAAUUUCAUUUUAUGAUUUUAGUUUUAGUUUUAGAUUAAAUCUCAUUAUUUUGAUUAUAAUCCAAUGAAUUUUUGUAAAGUAGGUUAUCUGUUGGAGAGCUCGACUUCUCUCUCUGCGAUUCUACUGGUGUCUCCCUGACAAAGUCGACAAGAAAUUCUUGACAGCUUCCUAUUCGCUGCAAAAGGUCCUUCAUAUUCUCCUCCAAUUUCUUCAUCCUAAACCCUAAUUUCUCAUUUUUUAUUUUGUACAGGCGUGAGUACGAUGCGUAUUUCUACAAGGUCUUCAAGGCGUACACGCAGCUAUGGAAAUUUCAGCAAGAAAAUCGCCAGAAACUCCUCCCCUGUUCUUUCAUUGAUAUCCCCGCUCUGUCUUUCUCAAUCUUGAGAAAAGGAAGGAAGGAGGAAGAAGAAGAUGGUGGCAGAAAGGCUAGCCGAUAUUCACCUCUCUCAGACCCUGCGUAAAGCGGGAGCCUUGUGCACUGGGUACGA